CGGGUGAGAGAGGAUAGAUAUCAAAAAGGUAACACUGGUAAUCUUUGGAUGGGAUUGGUUGGGGUUUAGAAGAGAUGGAAAACAUGAGAAAACUAUGAAUGUUUAUCAAUUUAGAGAAUGGAAUAUUUUAAUAGAUUUGUGUACUGUUAUAUAGUGGAAUAUUAAUAUGAAAUAUUCAUGUCUCCAUAAGAGGUUGGUUGGGGGCUAGAGAAGAUGAUUAAUUUUUGUUUUUCUAUGUUUUUAUUGUUUAACUCUUUACAUUGAGCAGAUACUACUUCAAAUAAUUACAAUAGUAGAAAAACUAAAAUUGAUUUUAAUUCAUAAGGCAAGUAGAUAAUGUAAAACAUUAAGAUUUUAGAACUCUUAGAAAGUUAGAAACUCUAGGGAAAAUAAUAAAUUCUAGAAACUCAACAGGUACACUAAAAGUGUCACAAGAACCAAGAGGAGGAGGAGAUAAACAUUCUCUGAACUUUUGGAAGUCUUGGAAGACAUAGCUCUAAAAAUAUCAUAACACUAGAUAACUAGGAUUAUUUUAGGUAUCAGUUGUGUCACAUACAUAUAUAUGUAUAUAUACACAUAUAUCCUUGGUCAGCUUGAAUUAGUAUUUAAAAAUGAGCAAGCAACAGGCAACAAUAGCCACACAGACGGACUCUGGUGACUUAUGUAACAGCAGAGAUCUAGAAGUAUUAGUCCUGACUCUUGGGUCAGAAAUGUAACCUCCGGUCAAUGGGCCUCUUUUUUUUUUUCCCUUGGCUUUCACCCAGCUUUGCUGCUCUUAUACAGAUGUGACAUUAUUCCCUGAAUCACCAGCACAUGAACAAAAGAAUUUCUAUGAGAAGUUAACAAAGGGGAAACUAUGACUUGGGGAGUUUUUAACUUCCCAAAGUUCAGAUGAAGUCUCACUCUAUCACCCAGGCUGGAGUGCAGUGGCAUGAUCUCAGCUGACUGCAACCUCUGCCUCCCGGUUCAAGUGAUUCUCCUGCCUCAGCCUUCUGAGUUACUGGGACUACAGGUCCAGUGUGCUUGUUGCUCGAGACCUCAUGCCUUCUGGACCCAGACAUCUCUGCAAUCUUGGAACUGGAAUACACCGCUUCUUGUCAAGGUACUAGCGAGUUGAUAAGUAACUCCUCUCAGUGGUAUUUCUUUGAAACACUCAUGCUGAAUACCCCUGAAAUAUCGCAUGUCCUUCUCCCACCACACCCCCCACUGAGGGUAAGCACACCUUCCUGGCAUGACUUCAGGGACACUAUACUUCUAAUUCCAAUUGUGGCUAGAAUAUCUGCAUCUCUCCGCCUUCUCUUGUAAGGACAAAAAACAUCUUCAAAUACAUGUUAUUUUCCUUUUUCCAUGAGUCUACACUUUCAUUGAAAAGGUUGCUAGGAGCUGUAUUAGACAUGACUUGAAUUUUUUUAAAGUUUUGUUUUUUUCCUUUCAGCUUGAGGCUUCUUACUCAUACAACCUAUGUUUCCUCUAACUGGGGGUGGGGGUGGGAAUCUGUCCUUUGAGC
RNAcentral lists this long non-coding RNA (1507 nucleotides) under Papio anubis (olive baboon). RNAcentral describes it as "lncRNA (ENSPANG00000050271.1)". The record is from RNAcentral. Lineage: Eukaryota; Metazoa; Chordata; Mammalia; Primates; Cercopithecidae.